Molecule: ribosomal RNA, 253 nt
Filed under: uncultured bacterium
Lineage: Bacteria
Description: partial 16S ribosomal RNA
Rfam family: Bacterial small subunit ribosomal RNA
Source: RNAcentral
GACGUAGGGCGCGAGCGUUGUCCGGAUUUAUUGGGCGUAAAGAGCUCGUAGGCGGCUUGUCGCGUCGACCGUGAAAACUCGCAGCUCAACUGCGAGCCUGCGGUCGAUACGGGCAGGCUAGAGUUCGGUAGGGGAGACUGGAAUUCCUGGUGUAGCGGUGAAAUGCGCAGAUAUCAGGAGGAACACCGAUGGCGAAGGCAGGACUCUGGGCCGAUACUGACGCUGAGGAGCGAAAGCGUGGGGAGCGAACAGG